Long non-coding RNA from Felis catus (domestic cat), 7431 nucleotides. RefSeq lists it as uncharacterized. The record is from RefSeq and is a predicted model, not a curated record. The transcript has 11 exons. Lineage: Eukaryota; Metazoa; Chordata; Mammalia; Carnivora; Felidae.
AUAGUUUGGACCCUUAUACAUCACAGAAGGUAUUAAUGAAAGUCCUUAAACUGUUUUCAAUAUUUAGAGGAAAUUUAGGAGAAAUAGCCUAUGAAAUCUGUGGAUAAAUAUGCGAACUAAAAAUUUUCUUUGCUUUUGUCUGAAAUUAUAGCAACUCAGUGUGGUAACCCUUUAUCUCAUGCUGAUUAGAUUGUUUAAUUUGCAGUUAGACAUGUCUUUGAUGCAGAAAAAAACCAGAAAAUAAAUUGUUAAUUAAUAAUUUCAGUGUAUUUGGAAGUCCAAACUUUCAAAGCCCAGUGUUAUUGGAGGAAAAAAAUGGAAGGAGCUUGUUGUUGUGAAGAUAUUUGGGCACGUGGGUAUUUGCUCUGCCUCUGGUCAUCUUGGGGCACCAGGUGAUAUCACAGAAUGGAUCCUUCCUCGGUGGCUCCCGCUGAAGGGGCUUCGAUUUUCAGUGUAAAUUGAAAUAAUUUUUCUUUUCAAUGCAGCAGCAGUUUCGUACCUUAAUAUAAUGGAGCUCCCUAUUUCUGUGAUUUAUUGUUCUGCCUUUCUGCUGUUUGCUUAGUCCUCAGAAUGGCCACUGGUGAUGGAUCUAUUAACACACUACGCCAAUAAAUCCCAUCCAUUAACCUGGAGGCCCUGGGAGGAAAGUAUGAUAGUGGCCACAUGCGUUGGCCAUUGGCUAAGAGGCUGGAUUGGCCACUGGUCUCCCACUUUGGAUAGAAUAACUGUUAUGGGACUGAAUAGCUCCUUCCUCAUGCUAGGUAUCUCUCUAAGAGGAAGGGGCUGGGAAUGGUUUGUUGAGAGCCCUUCGAGACCAAGUUUGGUUUACGUGCUGCCAUAAGAAGCUAAUCCAAAAUGGUAACAAGACUGUAGAUUCUGCCAUAAUGUUGACACAGAUGCUGCCAGAGCUUUUCCAAAUCCAAAAUUGAAAAUCAUUGUUGAGAAGAGACGAAGGAACCUCCUUUCUCAUGUUCUUCUGAUGGUGCCAUUCACAACCUGGUCUUUCACCAAGAUGCUGCUUGCAGGGAGCUCACAGUCGUUUUUGUUCUCACAAGUUAAGAGGGAAUAUUGGCAGUAAGAGUGUUACCAAACUAUUCCGUCUUGAGCUGGCAGACGUAUAGAAAGAGAGGGCCGCUGCGCCCGUGUACAUAAUUAAUUGAAGAUCCACAGAUCUCCACUUUCAACCCUUUCUUCCAUCCUCUAGGGGAGGAAAGCAAAGGGAAAGGCAGUAAGUAUGUGUCCAGCCGGUCUCCUGGAGAGCACAUGACAGAAACCCACCUGAAACGAGAUUAGGAGAGAGGCGAAGAGGACUAACCUGCUCGUGUAACCCAAACUGCAAGGAGAACAGACGCAGAGUGGCUGGAACAAACAGAGCUCUCCAGCUCUUUUUUCUGCUUCUCUCCAGAAGUCAGUUCCAUUCUGGUCCACAGCACCCUAGUUCCUUCCACAAGGCUGCUGGAACAACGGCUGCUACUGGACCUUGGCCCCAAAUGUUUCCAGCUUCAGGAAUAGGAUCUGUUGGAGCAACUCUCACAGAGAAGCCGUCUUUCUGCCAGUUCCCUUGAGUUAGUUGCCAGGGAAACCUCAAGAGCUUCUACAAUCCAUCACUUUGGCAAAGAGAAGAGAGAUGGUUGAACUGCACAUGGCCCUUGAGGUUGCCACCUGGAAGAGACAUGUGUCACUUCUACUCACUGUUCCCUGGGCAAUGCAAGACACAUGGUCACAGGCCUGGCCUAUGUAACACUCCUGGUGCCUUUAGGACACUUGGGAUGGAGCCUCGACUUGGACCCUACCUCCUUCCUGCUGCCAGAACCCGUUGGAAUUAGAGGACAGGAGACCUCCUGUGAUUUACAUUCUGGAGUGGUGGGAUGAUGGACUGAGCCAGACAGCUCGUCACCUCUGGAGAAGACGAGCGGGGUCAUGGCAGCUGCCCUGGAAAUGAAAGAGGAGGCAGGGUGCUUUGCUGCCUUGGAAGCUCUCCUUUGUUCCCGAGCAUCAGGGGUGCUGUCGCAUGUGGCCUCUGGGAGGCCAGGCAGGAAGAGCAGAGCCUGUGCCCAAUAGCUGAAGGGCAGGGCUGAUGAACAGCUCAUCUUAUUGAUUGCUGGCCUCUCCGACCAUCAGCGGACCUAGGCCCACUGCUGGCUGCCUGCCAUUGAGCCACAAAGGCAGCAGCUCCACGGAUUUUCCACGAAUUCCCCCUUCUGGGUCCUUUUCAGUGGCCAGGUGGACUUGGCCUCUUGAACAUCCUGUUUGCUCCAACUUGUCCACCUGAUGCAAGUGCACGUUAGGUGACUGUGUAAACAGAGUGGUGUCCGAGAACCCCCAGGACUCCGGAAAGGAACUGGUGUGGACCCACACGAAACCAGAAAGUGGACCCAAGGGCCAAGGAAUGCCCAUGAUGAGAGAGCAGGACUGUGGCCCAGACCGGGGCUGCUGCUGGUCUAUGCAGCGCCUUUGUGUGAAGUAGAAAAAAACGUACCCCUUCUUUUUGGAGACGGAACCUGGAGCAGCUGUUCUUGGGUUGGAAAGUGAAGCCUGGACUGGAUUUUGGCUCCUACUUCAACAGGAGCCAACCUGCAUUACCACAUGCAGAGUGUAAUCAGGACUAGGAGCUUAUGUGAAGCUAGUUGAAGCCAGAACAAUGUUUAAAUCUCUCCCUAUCAAGGAAUUUGGUGAAUAGAUAUACACCUGGCUACGUGGAGAGCAACUUGUUGUGUACAUAAGGCUUGGAAAGAAAAUCAUUUAGAAUUGAAGAGGACAAGAGCCGUGUAAGGAAAGCAGUGUGCUUGGUGACAGGAACUUGGAAUGAGACUGGUGUAAAGAACCUGGCCGUGGUGUCAGACAGAGAAGAUUUGAAUCCCGUUGUUGUCACUUAUAAGCAGUAUGAUUCCCUGGGUUUUCUUCUGCGUCAAAUGCAAGUGAUAAUUGGAUAUGUUUCAUAAGGCGAUUGUGAAGGCUAGAUAGGAUAAUGGAGAUGCAUCUUUUUGGGAAAACCGUUUUCUGCCCAAAGGAAAUCAGCUUUCCUGUUUUCUGUUGUUAUCAAUAUUGCUGUUUGGGUUCCCUUGAGUGUGGAUUAAAUGGCAGCUGAGAAAUCUUGUUGGGACCACCUCUUCCCAUUGCCUUUCAAAGUGAAGUCUUGACAAGAAAGGAGUUCUUCCCAAAGAUAAGUACAUUGGAGGUUGGGUCUGGUGGUAGCUUCCUAAUGAAUUUGUGGUGCACAGAUCUGUCCUUGAGCUAUUUUCUGUAAUGUUCUCACUGCAGUGUCCCAUGACUGAUCUUAUUUCAGAGAAUUGUAUGAGUUUUGCAGCAAAUUACAAGGAAGGCCUGGUUCCUAAAAUCAGCUGAAGGCCAAUUAAGGUUUCUUGGGGCGCUUUCCUUCAGCUGCAAUGUCAUCAUAAAUGACUCUCCAGUGCAGUGGAAGGCUGACAUUUUGUAAGCUAAUACUAUAUUUUGGGAGUGAUUAAAAUCUCCAUCUCAGUCACCUGCCUGACCGACUGCCAGUGGCCACAAAACAAAAGGAUUACAGUCGAUUCAUAUCCAUUAGGAAAAUGACGUGAAACACUAUUGGUUUAGGCGCAGUGGGGCUUAAUCUGAUUUCAGGAAGAAAGGAGAGGUGUGCAAUUAAAGGAGAGAGGAAAGGCAGAAAAGAAAAUCAAAUGAGAAUUUUCCCCCAAAACCCAAGGCCUUUUUGGUUUGUUCAUUUCCAUAAGGGUUUAUUAAGUACCUGUUGAGUUCUUCCCACUAUGGUAGACCCUGAAAGGGAGGAAGGAGAAAACACUAGCAAUGCCUGUCCUCAGAACUUGCAGUGUAGUAGGGGGGAAAUGCUACACACUGAGGAGGUGGCCAGAGAAUUAGCAGAUUCAUGUUAGUAGGAAUUUGAAAAUAUUCUUUAGGUGCCUGGCACAGUUGGAAAAGGAAAAGAAGAUAAGUGAGAAGGGAUAGUUGACAUCUACAUGUUCUUACUGUGUGCUUCACAUUAAGUUUUUACACAUAUUAACUCACCUUUACAACAGCCCUACAUACCAUUAUUAUUCCCGCUUUACGGAUGAGGAAACUGAGGCCCACAGAAGUGAAGAAACUUGCCUGAGAUCACACAGUCCGCAAGAGGAAGAGCUGGGGUUUGCAUACAGCUAGUCUGGUCCUAGAAUCUGAGGUUUUACCAUUAUUCUAUGUGGCCUCCCAAGGUGAUGGGGUAUUCCUGACCCAUGAGGAUUUUCAUUCUCCAUGGGGAGAUGAGGUCUAGGUGUGAGGAUAAUUAAGCUACAGGUAGAGGGUGUAACAGUGGAGGUAGGGAAUAGAGUGAUUGAUGACUUCAGAAAGGUGGGUGUGCUAACUGAACUCUGGACAUGGAUGUGUAUAUGUUGGGGGAAGCUCUGCACAGAGGGAUAGAGAAGGUUCUAACCCAGGAAAAGAGCACGGGCAGAGGAGACUGAAAGAAUGGCUACAAUUUGCAGUUACUUGUUUGUAGUUGUCUAAGAAGAGAAAUCAUUAAAUCAAAGGGUGCCUUCUUACAAGGACAAGGGUUUAUAGCACUGGGGACAAGAGCGAGGAUGUGGAAUCUGACAAAGUUUAAAGUUCGAUUGUGUCACAUGCUCCUCAAGUGACCUUGAGAGAGUUACCUAGCCUUUAUCUGCAAAUGCAAGAUAGGAAGAACGGCUAUAGAAGAAUUGGGAAAGCCUCUCAUCUUGUAACGGAGCUCAUUUAUUUACUUCUUCAAAAAUAUUCAUUAGGGAACCAAUUACCUGCCAUGUGCUGUGCUAGAUGUUGGGACAAUGAACAAGGCAAACAUGAGUGUUGCUCUCUUAGAGCUUGUAUUCUAACUGGGGAGGCAACACAAUAAACAAGCAGUAAUCUACAACAAGUAAUCUUAGGAUAGGAGAGGGAUUUUGAAGAAAACAUAGGGUUGGGGCCAAGUAGAAUUAAUGGCUUUUACUGUGCCAAGGACAGUGUUUGUCAGGUAGGAGGCAAUCAAAACACAGGAGCUUUCAUUUUACAUUUAUGAAUAGCUCCAUCUUGAAAUUCAACAUGUAAGAGGAAGCCAAGGUAGCAGAUACUCUUUGCUGCCUACCAGGAGGGCAUGUCUCCUUUCUCCUUGCUUACAGACCCCUCUUUAACCCAAGAUUCAUCUUACGCCCACAGGCAAGGUGUUGGGGUUACAGGAAGCUCAGGAUGGAUGUCUACAUCUCCAAGGAACUAUCACUUUCUACCAAAAUGUGAGAAGAAACUCUGGAAUGCAGUGUCAUGAAUGGGAACUGUUGUGUAUUCACUGCUUUCCCCCCAGUGCCCAGGACAGUUCCCAGCACAGAAUAGGGGCUCAACAAAUGUCUGUGGAAUUAUUAAACAGGUCAAUUGAAAUAAACAUGGAUAUAUUUUAGAAUCGCACAAGCAUGGCAUAAAAUUUUAAAAAUCCAAACAGAUGGCACUGUUCCUGCUGCAUUUGAAACAUGGGCUUCCUCAGACUCUGCUCUGAAAUUGCAAUGGAGGAGAAACCAGUGGUUUCAAGAAACAGAAAUGCAGGGGAAACUGGGCCAGCCUCAGCUCUACAAGGGUGGUCACCAGCUCCGGGACUGACAAGGGCCACAGUACAAGAUGGAGACGAAGUGCCGAGUUCCCAGAGGCUGUUGGUGGUGGCGAGGCCUGUACCAUGAGGGGUGUCUUCUGGAAGGUGAGAUUACCAGAGCCCAGGCACUCUGGGGACUCUUGGAGGGUCACACAGUGAAGAAGUCUGAUAAUCACCAGCCCUCUGGAGGGAAGUGGCUGAUCCACAGAAGCCUGUUCCUCUACUUUGGUCAUUGUUAUACUUUGGUCAUUGUUAUACUUUGGUCAUUGUCUCACUAUAAAAGCACUCAAGUAAGGAUCAGUCAGGAGGCUCAUGGUCAUUAUGAUUCCACUGUCUGCUGAGACACAAACCAAACCACUCAGAUACAAACAGCCAAAAGGUCAUGACUCUGCUCACCUCUCUGGCCUGAGUCCUGGGCCAGUGGUGACCCCCAACGUGUUGCCCAUGCCAAAGUCUCUUACCACACUGAGUCUACCCAGAGGACCAGGGCUGUAAAUGGACUGUGGGUGAUGCUGGAUGAUUCUUUAGAGGCCAUUGGUGCUACCUCCUCGUUGUACAGAUGGGGAAACUGAAGCCAUGUAGGGGGAGAAGGGAAUUGGACAAAUCACAUGACCCACUGAUGUUAAAUUUGGACUUGAUUCUCCAUCGUAUUCUCCUUCCAACACUAAAUGUAGUUAGAAGCCUGCUUCUGCUCAGAAGAUGGAAAAUGGCCUCUGACAAUAAAAGCUGAUUUUUAACAACCAACCCAAGAAAAAUAGAAUGCUUCAGCAAGUCUUUGGCCUGGAUCCAGAGAGAUCUUAGACUGUGAAGGGAUGGAUGGAUUAACUCUUACCACCCUCCCAUCCUGAGCUCUUUGAGCUUUUGUUUUGUUUGCUUGUUUUUUGUUUUUGUCACCUAUGGGGUUUGCAAAUCCACAAAUUUGGUUGUCUCCUGUCAUGUGGUUGUUACAGGAGCAUGGGCCAGCAAGAGGUUCACAUGAUGGUUUAAUCAAUACUGCAAAUAACAAUAAUAUAUGAUAGCACAUGUGCUUACUGUACCAGAUGCCCUUCUAAGUCCUUUGCAUGCAUCAACUCAUUUAAACCUCACAACUCUUAUCAAAUCAGUUUACAAAUGAGAAAAUUGAGGCAUAGGAAGGCUAAGUAACUAGCCCAGGAUCACCUAGUUUGUAAGUGGUACAAGUGAGAUUUGAGGAUAGUAAGUCUGACUCUGGAGCCAUGAUGCCUUACUGUCCUGGUUGCAGUGAGUGGCACUUUAAAACAGGGCUGUACUGUAAUUUUUAAAAAAAAUCAUUGAUUACAAAUUCUGUCUCCCUGUACUCAGGGGCUAGCAGUGGAAUGGACCCUGAAAGGUAGUGCCUUCCCUCCCCCACCUUCUCCCACAGUGCUGUGGGCAUUAAACCCUAUCUCCCCUGCCGCCCCCUCCCCUCUCCCCGCCAGGUAGUUGCCUGCUUCGGCACCUUCAGAGGCUCUCCUGCAGAGGCACCAGAGGUCACUGAUGGCUUGAGCUUUUAUAUUCCCUUGGGGCAAAAUGUACAGCUUCGUGGUCCUUCAGUGGAAAAUAGCCAUUUGAACUCUCUCAACUCUAUGAAUCUCAUGAACUGGGUCUCCAGAAGCCACUUGCAUGACAGGAAACAAAUAAAAGGGGAGCCCACUCCUCUUCCCCAGAGGAGGGGUUAGAAGGCUGGAAUAAUUCAUCACAGUCCCCACCCCUCCCGCCACACACACACACACACACACACACACAUGCACGCGCGUGCACACACACACACACACACACACACACAGCAGUGCUCCACUCUGCCAAUGGAACAUUCGUGUUGCCUCUGAAUUAUGUGCUUUUGAUUAAUUUCUAAGGAAAAAAGAUCAGCUUUG